This 606-nucleotide ribosomal RNA is filed under the name uncultured bacterium. RNAcentral's name for it is "bacterial SSU rRNA". It matches the Rfam family "Bacterial small subunit ribosomal RNA", at positions 116 to 716 of the family's 1533-position model. The record is from RNAcentral.
CAUCGGAACGUACCCCGUAGUGGGGGAUAACUCGGCGAAAGCCGUGCUAAUACCGCAUAUGCUCUACGGAGGAAAGCAGGGGACCUGAGAGGGCCUUGUGCUAUGGGAGCGGCCGAUGUCCGAUUAGCUAGUUGGUGGGGUAAUGGCCUACCAAGGCGACGAUCGGUAGCUGGUCUGAGAGGAUGAUCAGCCACACUGGGACUGAGACACGGCCCAGACUCCUACGGGAGGCAGCAGUGGGGAAUUUUGGACAAUGGGGGCAACCCUGAUCCAGCCAUGCCGCGUGCGGGAAGAAGGCCUUCGGGUUGUAAACCGCUUUUGGUCGGGAAGAAAAGGCACGGGCGAAUAGUCCGUGUUCUUGACGGUACUGACAGAAUAAGCACCGGCUAACUACGUGCCAGCAGCCGCGGUAAUACGUAGGGUGCGAGCGUUAAUCGGAAUUACUGGGCGUAAAGCGUGCGCAGGCGGUUCGUUGUGUCCGAUGUGAAAGCCCCGAGCUUAACUUGGGAAUGGCAUUGGAAACUGGCGGGCUGGAGUGUGGCAGAGGGGGGUGGAAUUCCACGUGUAGCAGUGAAAUGCGUAGAGAUGUGGAGGAACACCGAUGGC